This 301-nucleotide ribosomal RNA is filed under the name uncultured bacterium. RNAcentral's name for it is "partial 16S ribosomal RNA". It matches the Rfam family "Bacterial small subunit ribosomal RNA", at positions 509 to 807 of the family's 1533-position model. The record is from RNAcentral.
CAGCCGCCGCGGUAACACGAAGGGUGCAAGCGUCAAUCGGAAUUACUGGGCGUAAAGCGUGCGUAGGCGGUUUGUUAAGUCUGUUGUGAAAUCCCCGGGCUCAACCUGGGAAUGGCAAUGGAUACUGGCAAGCUAGAGUGUGUCAGAGGAUGGUGGAAUUCCCGGUGUAGCGAUGAAAUGCGUAGAGAUCGGGAGGAACAUCAGUGGCGAAGGCGGCCAUCUGGGACAACACUGACGCUGAGGCACGAAAGCGUGGGGAGCAAACAGGAUUAGAUACCCCAGUAGUCCCUGUCUCUUAUAC